RNAcentral lists this ribosomal RNA (505 nucleotides) under uncultured bacterium. RNAcentral describes it as "partial 16S ribosomal RNA". It matches the Rfam family "Bacterial small subunit ribosomal RNA", at positions 28 to 507 of the family's 1533-position model. The record is from RNAcentral.
GACGAACGCUGGCGGCGUGCCUAAUACAUGCAAGUAGAACGCACAGUUUAUACCGUAGCUUGCUACACCAUAGACUGUGAGUUGCGAACGGGUUAGUCACGCGUAGGUAACCUGCCUGGUAGCGGGGGAUAACUAUUGGAAACGAUAGCUAAUACCGCAUAAUAUUGAUUAUUGCAUGAUAAUUGAUUGAAAGAUGCUAUUGCAUCACUACCAGCUGGACCUGCGUUGUAUUAGCUAGUAGGUGAGGUAACGGCUCACCUAGGCGACGAUACAUAGCCGACCUGAGAGGGGGAUAGGCCACACUGGGACUGAGACACGGCCCAGACUCCUACGGGAGGCAGCAGUAGGGAAUCUUCGGCAAUGGACGAAAGUCUGACCGAGCAACGCCGCGUGAGUGAAGAAGGUUUUCGGAUCGUAAAGAUCUGUUGUAAGAGAAGAACGGGUGUGAGAGUGGAAAGUUCACACUGUGACGGUAUCUUACCAGAAAGGGACGGCUAACUACGUG